Long non-coding RNA from Heterocephalus glaber (naked mole-rat), 8217 nucleotides. The record is from Ensembl. NCBI's taxonomy places the organism in Eukaryota, Metazoa, Chordata, Mammalia, Rodentia, Bathyergidae.
GUGGAAACACGGAGUAGAGAGUGAAUACAUAUAUUUCAGGGCUCAUGUAAGACAAGUUUUACUAUAUUUCAAUUUUUUUAUAGACUCACAAUAUCUACCAUCUGUUUCUGUGGCUGCUGUUUGCCUGGCACAGUACUUUACAUACAUUAUCUCAUCUAAUUCUCAAAACCUCUUUACUAAAUGGAUGUUAUUGCCUCUACACAGAAAGGAGGCUCAGACCGAUUAAUAAUGCUCUCAAGGUCACAGAAGUAGAAAGUUAGCUCCGAUGGAAAAAGAUUUUAAAGCACUAGAGUACACUCUGCUAAGAAAAGCUUCUUCCAAGGAUCAUAUCUUAUGUUUCGGCGUAUCUGACCUAGGUCUCAGAAGACGCCUAAUAAAUGUCAGUUAAAUAAAUGAGUGAAUGAUUUUUCACUUUCUCUGAGAAACGCAAGCGGCAAAGUCGCUGGAGAACCUCCCGGUCGCCAGGGGGCGCCGCACAACCUCAGCACCGCGAGCCCCGGUGCGGACGUCUCUCUUCCUGUGCCUUGAUUGGAGCUCAACGGAUCCCUGAGCCCCGAGGCAGCAGGCGGGCGUUGCGCGGGGUCACCGGUGACGCCCAGCGGGCGGCUGGAAGCGGAGACUUCCGUGCUCCGGUCUAGCAGUCGGAAAGCUGGGGCCAGGCCGAGGUUGUGCGGGUUGGGGCGCAGAUGUCAUGUGGCCUAUGCUUUGGACCAUGGUGCGCAGCUAUGCUCCUUAUGUUACAUUUCCUGUGGCCUUCGUGGUUGGGGCUGUGGGCUACCACCUCGAAUGGUUCAUCAGGGAAAGGAUCCACUUCCUGUGGAAGAAGAAAAAAGAGCAUCUCAGAGCGCCGGGAGGAUCGUAAGCUGGAUGAACUUCUAGGCAAGGACCAUACCCAGGUGGUGAGCCUUAAGGACAAGCUGGAAUUUGCCCCUAAAUCUGUCCUGAACAGAAACCGCCCUGAGAAGAAUUAAUGGAAGACACAGGACCCUAUGGUCAACAGGGCUGUGACUGGUCCUGCCAUGAUGUCAACUCAGCCCCAGAACAUACAUUUGAUUGCUUUUGCUUAUUCUGACCUCUUCUGUACCUCACAGCCUCACAUGUACUGGCUGCACCUUUAUAGCCAGGGAGACACAGGAGCAGCUGAGGGGCCAGCCAGAGAGGAAGGCUGAAUCUAUAGAAUGGGGUCCGACUGCUCAGGCUUCCGAGCUUCUGUUGGUGCACUGUCCCGAGAGUGCUGUAAAUGAACAUGGGCUCUCAGUCUCCUGGGGAGGUGGUUUGGCCUCAAGUGUGGAUGGCUGGGAUUUGGGUAUUCCCUUUAGGAGAGAUACCCAUGUGUCUAGUUCCAGUUUGUACAGGGAAGAAUUCAGAAAUCUACCUGGUUCCCUUGACUAGUUUGCCUUACCCUUUGUGUUCAUUCUUCCUGAAAUCCUCUUGUCAGCUCAGGAAUGGGAUUCCCUGGGGAAGGAAAGCAUUUUCUGUUGUCAGAUAUGCAGGCUGUUCCUGCUGGGGCAGGGAGGAAAUGUGCCUGGUGAAUUUGCUUGGAAACAAUCACCGUCCUCUACCCCUCAUCACUUGAUUAAAGUGGCAUCUGAGAACCAUUUUGAUCGAAUCCUGUCUUCUAGAUGGCAUUUGGGGUAGGCCAGUGAUAGUGGUUAAGGACUCUGGUUGCUGUGAAUCCAGGAGGCGGUGGUUCCCAAGAGCCUUUUUACCAUCAUGAUUAGAGGCAGUAGCUCUUUCAAAGUCUUAACGCUCACAUGUGUGCCACCCUCCUUUUCUCUAUAAGAAAAUAAUAUAUAGGGCCGGGGAUUUAGCUCAGUGCUUUUGCCACCUGCUGCGCAAGCGCAAGGACCUGAGUUCGAUCCCCGGUACCAAAAAAAAAAAAGAAAGAGAAAAUAAUAUAUGCACAUUAAAGGAAAUUUGGUAGGGAUUAGAACAAGGUCACCAACACUUCCAGCACUGUAAUGCAACCACUGUUAGAAUUUUGUUAUCUUUUCACUACUUUUCUGUGUAGUUUUGUUUUUGUUUUUGAACCAGGGUUUUGCUAUGUAGUUCAGGGUGGCCUUGAACUCACUAUGUAGUCCAGACUGGCCUUGAAUUCAUGGUGAUCCUCCUGCCUCAGCCUCCCAAGUGCUAGAAUUAUAGGCAUGUGCCACCAUACUGGGUUUCUGUGUAGUUUUUAAAGACAGUUACACCAUUAUACUUUAAAUUUUAUAUUGCUUUUUCACCUGUUAUUUCUUAAAAUCAUUCAUCUUAUCACAUGGUCAUAAUUGGGGUUUUUUUGUAUAUCCUUUUAUUGGUACAUUUUAGGUGUACAAUAUAAUGACAUUCAUCAUUGGAGAUAUGCACAUUUACAGACUCUCUUGGUUCUUAUAUUCUCAUAUUAAUUCCAUUCCCUUCUUUCCUUUCCCCUCCCCCUCCCCUUUGCCCCUUUUCUUCCUAUUUCACAUUAUCUAUUAUACCUUUUAGUCCUUAUUUACCCUUUCAGUUUCUCACACUAGAGAAACUAUUUGGUAUUUACACAUGUGUGUCCUGUUUAUUUCACUUAAGAGUAUCACCUCAGUGUGCAUCCAUUCAGCAAUACAUGUCUCUAAUUUCUCAUUUUUUAUGGUUGAGUAGCACUCCAUUUUAUAAAAAAACCACAUUUUCUUUAUCCAGUCUCCAGUUGAUGGGCAUUUGGGCUGUUUCCAAGUUUUAGCUUUUACAAACUGUGCUGCUAUGAACAUGGGUGCACAUAUAUCACUGUGGUAUGAUUCUUUUUAAUUCUUUGGGGAAGAUCCCCAGCAGGGGAAUACCUGGGUCAAAUGGGACUUCCAGUCCUAGUUCUUUGAGGUAUCUCCAUACUGAUUUCCAUGGUGGUUGCACCAGUCUAGACUACCACCAGCAGUGGAACAGGGUUCCUCUUUUCCCACAGCUCCUACAGCAUUUGUUGUUGAUUGAUUUCAUGAUAGCAGCCAUUCUUUCUGGAGUGAGGUGGAAUCUCAGUGUUGUUUUCAUUUGCAUCUCUUGGAGGUCAUAAUUGUUUUUAAGUACCUUCUGAAGAAUAUAGCAAAAAUUGAUUUUCAACAGUUUCCUUAUUGCUGAACAUUUGAAUUGUUUCUGAUUGUUCACAAGUUUAAAUACUCCAAGGACUGUUUUAUGUAAGGCUUUUCCUGCAUUUUGGAAUCAGUGGUGGGAACAGUAAAUGGCAUUUGGAUGACAUGGAAUGAACAGUUUUCAGAGUCCAUACAUCGUAGCAAGUGUCUCUCUGAAAGGGUUGCAGGAGUUAAUGCUAAAUGUCACCACUUGAGGUGUUGCUGGUGAGGUAAGGGCAAUGAGCAGAGGGCUGGAAGAGGCAGAAGAACGUGCUGCUCAUGAAGCUGACUCAUUUAACCUAAGUGCACAGGGAAGCAUAGUGAUCACUGAAGAGGGAAUCUGCCUGGAAAAAGGGAGGUUGUUUGCCCUGUCUCCUCUCUCAGGAUCUCUCUCUCCUCUGGGGCCUGAUGGUGUUAAUGGGGGCGGGCAGAACUCCUGAACAGGUCGAGAUGCCAGCUGGGGAGUGGGGCAGUGCUGGGAGGAGGAGGGUGCUCUAAGUGGUGGCCUGAGAAGAAAGGAUUAAGUCCAGUCAGUGGCUUCCCCUCAGUGUCUGUGGCCUAGUGGAGAUGUUGAGCUGAGCUGCUGUUGGUCCUCGGGGAAUAAAUCUGAUGAGAGUGGGGAAAGACUGCUACCUGAGGAAGGUGAGAUUUCUGGUUCCAAAAGGGUCUGCUAAGCUCAGUUUCUGCUUAGGGUUCUGGCUAGUGGCCUCUGCAUUGGUAGACCUGUGCUGCCACCCUGUGGCGGUUUUGAGCAUUACUAGGCCUGGAAUCUUCCCUGGACUAAAUCAGGAAUAACAAUUUUUUUUUUGGUAUAUCGUUUUAUUGGUACAUUUUAGGUGUACACUAUAAUGACAUUCAUCAUUGGAGAUAUGCACCUUUACAUAAUCACUCUUGGUUCUUAUUUUUCACCCUUGCCCAGCCCUCCCUUCAACCCCUCCAUCCCUCCCUAUUUACAAAGAUGUUGUUUCCAUUUUUUUCAUUUUCUCAUAUUAAUUCCAGUCCCUUCUUUCCUUUCCCCUACCCCUCCCACUUCCCCCCUCCCCUUUGCCCCUUUUCUUCCUAUUUCCCAUUAUCUAUUAUACCUUUUAGUCCUUAUUUACAUUUUCAGUUUCUCACACUAGAGAAACUAUUCGGUAUUUAAACAAAUCUUGAUGCCUGCAGGAUCAGAUGACAAAUGAGCAAAGUACAGCCCUGACAAGAGGGGGCAGUAGUGAUUCAACUUCCAGUUUGCUGCUUCCUCAGUGGCACCAGUUUUCCACUUUUUUCCCUUAAAAAUGUAAAAGUUAAGUGGAGUUUUUAUUAUUUAUCUAUAGAAACUUAUGUUUUAAAAAAAGUCGGCAAUUCAUUUUUUAAAAUCUAAGCAUGCUAACAUACUUGGGUUAUUUGGAACCAGUGAGGGUCAAUUUGUGAUCUCUCAAAAAUGCCCCUCUUGUCCUGGGGUGGUAGUGGUGUAGCUCAGUGGUAAGAGGCUUGUCUAGCGUAUGAGUGAAGCCCUGGGUUUGACUCCCAGCACUGCAACAAAAUCAACAACAAAAAAAUGUCCCUUUCCUAAUGAUAUCUGAGAGUUACGCAUUUUUUUCAAACAACUUGUAGCAAAUAUUAGGUCACAGAAUUGAUUUCCAUUGAAAACUCUUUUGUGUAUCCUACACAUGUACAGUUUAAUAUCACCCUAAGCAAAAUAUUUGAGGAUGGAAAGCCACAGGGACAAUACCCACAGAUUUUUCCCACAGACAUUUUUAGACUUUCAGAUAUUUUAGUAUAUCUCCUACCAAUGUCUGGUUGAAGAAGCUCUAUCUUUGGAAAUCUGAGUUGCUCUCUUCUUCCAGGCUGACUUUGUGCCCCUUUUUAAAAUAAUUUCAUUUCCUAGGGAGUGUCCUGGCCAAAUUUCUGGCUCUAGCAAGUCUAUUAAUACUCUCAGCUCAGUCUUCCUUUCCCAUGGACUGGUGGAGAUCCAAGGCUGCUGUAGCCACUCUUAAGAUGUUACAGCAUCUUAUAGGUGCUCUCCUUGACCUGUGCACAAGUGACAUUAAGUAGCAGGGCUUGUGUUACUGGCUGUAGGCAAAGAUAGGUCAGGGUUGCUGGAAUGCACCAGGACAUGGACUGGUUUUCUUCCAUGCUUGCUAAUUCACCUUGGAGUUAUGUGACCCUCUCUUAAACUGGCCCGACAAUCAUAGUUCACUGAAAUACAUCAGUUAGUACCUGCGCUUGCCUCUUGUUUCCCUCCUCCACAGGUCUUUUCCCAGCCUCGUGAUGGUUGUGGCUGUGGAGCAGGGUUAUCCUAUCUGAGCGGGGCAGGAAUCACCUCUCUCCCUCAGCGGCUCGUUGUCUGGUGCUUUUCCAUUCUCGCUAGACCCUUUCCUGUGCUGUGUUAGCACAAGUCAGCUGGGUCGCUGCCAGGACAAGCCUGCCAGGGAGCCCUUUGACUUGUCAGCUUCCCAGCGCCCUGGCUGAUGGGACUGUUGGCUGCGUGAAACAGCAUGGAAGUAGCCUCAUUGGAGUCUGGGUUGUGAGCCAAGCAGCUAGAAUUAAAAAGCUCAGUCUUGCCUGGCUUGUCUUAUGCCACUUUGGGAUGUGUUUCCAUGUACUACUCAUAGGGUGCUAAGCUAGGGCCAUGCUAUUGAGUGAAAAUCAGGUGGCUUUUGGUGGGUGACAGACUUGAGUUAUGAAUAUUGUCUCAAACUAAAUGACCUUGGUCAAGUCACUGAGUCUUUCUUAGCCUCAAUGUCCUCAUCUAUAAAACCGGGGUAAGAAUUUUCGCUGGGCUGUCCCAAGGCUAAGGUAAUGUAUGUGAAGUGUUAGCAUAGUCCAUGGGCUCCAUGUAAGUAAGUGCUCAGUAAAUACUAGCUGCUUAAAUUUUGUUUCAGGAAGAGCUUACAUUUCCUACAAUAGUUGCAUGUAUCAUUGUGAUCCUGGUGAAUGAGGAACGGGAGGAGAGAGCAAUCUUGGCUGAGUAAUAACAAGCUCUCUCACAGGUCUGGCUGAGGGCCUUUUAUAAAUAUCUUAUGGAAAGAAUUGUCUUGCCUAAGGACCAAGCUGGCAAGGGAUUGUAGGCUUCAGAUCUGGGUUACUAUGAAUUCUAUCCGUGCUACCUGCAAACUCAGAGGUGACAAGUGGGGAGGAGGUUGUUCAGAAUACCCAACAGGUCAAGAAUUAGGAGCAGAGGUGGACGACAGAGGCAAGAAAAUUUGGUGUUUGGGCUAUGCCUUCUCUCCUGGCCUUUGGUUUCCCCACCUGCAAAAUGGGGAUGCAAACAUGUUCCCUGCCAGUGGUGUGGAAAGAGUGAGAAGCAGUUACAAGUGCUUUGAAGACAUGCAAGUGCAAGCCGUGACAACCCAGGAAAACCUCCCUUCUAUCUAAGUGGGAUGGCAGCCAGUCUGAACAAUGAAAUAAAAAUAAAUUGCUCUCUGAUUCCUUUGCCGUACACAGUCUCUUAAAAGUAUUUGCUAAAUAGAAGCCCUUGGGGGAAUCAGCUUGAAAAGUAAAGAGUAGUAAUUGGCAGAUCCGUUUUCAUUUCUGUUCCAAGAGUGCCUCUCAUGUACUUAAGAGUUUAUUCUUUUUCAACUAAAUUUGUUAACAUUAUAUAUCUGUUUGUCAAAUCCUUUUUACAUAAUACAAAGGUAAAGCCUGGCUUUUAAAAAAAAUGUCAAAUGUGCCCUCCAGAUUAUUGAAUUUUUAAAAAACCAGCAAGGGCAGCUUUUCUGUCUGGAAGAGUCCAAAGGUGUUUGUGCUUUAUGCCCUCUCUCACUGUCCCUGUUCCCUCACAUCCAAGCCCAGCUCCACUGUCCAUUUCUAUUUUAUCUGAGCCUGAGCUGCCAAGUGAAGCUGGAGCAACUUGCAGCCCUGGUGCCUGGCACUCUCCACUUAUGAGUUUCUGGAUGCAACACAGCAGCACUUCAUAGUGAUCCUUUUUUAAACAAAGAUCCUUGAGCCCCCAGCCCUAUCCUGGCACCCUUAGCUUUUUUGCUGAUUUGUUUCCCGCACUACAGUGCUGAAGCCACACCAUUUUGGCUGAAAGCCUUUGUAAUGGCAAAUCUGGUGUCCUUGUUUUGGUCCUGGUCACAUUCUGGCUCUUUGCAGCACUCUUCUUGGGCUUCUCCUCGACAUCACCUCCCCUUCAAUGUCCUUUUCCAGCUUUCCUCUGCCAUGGUUCCCUCCUGUUCUAAAUGUGAGUGUUCUCCUGGUGCAUUCUUGCCUCUGCUUUAAUGCCUUGUUGGGCAGUCUUGACCUCACCUGUGGUUCAACUACUACCAGUAUCUACCUUGCUGACAUCCAGGUGUGUAUCUUCUGAAUUUUCCUGUCAACACUGAAACAUACAUGAUCUGGAAUGGUGUAUUAUACAUCUCUGCCUAGAUUUACCAUAUAGCACAAUGGUUCAAGCAGUGACCUGGGUGUGAAACCAACUCUGUAAUCUAGUUGUAUGACUGAGAAGUUCAUUUAAACUCCGAGCAUCAUCUGUAAAAUGGGAGCAAGGCUAUCAGAGUUGUGUUUUGAGGUGCCUACCAUCUGGUGCUAAUAGCAGCAGUGUUUUGCUUUGCCUUCCCCAAGACUGGUAAUGAACUAAAUCAAGAGAAAUUACUGGCUUAUUUCUCCCAGGAGAAGUGGAGCUUGGGCAGAGGGCUGCAUUUCUCCACUGGGCAGAACCUGGACCAGCACAGCUGGUGAUGAAUUUGACCCUGAUGACUCUGUAGAGGGGAACAAUGUCCUCAGGAAAGCAUUCAGGAAGCCCUUCGUGUAGCAGUGAUCAAAGCUCCGCAGUAGCUCAGCAGGGUGGAUAGGAAGGCUCCAAGGAAUCCAGCAAGGCUGGGGUUCAGCCCAGGGAGCCACUUAAUGCACUUACCAGGUGGUGUGCUCCUCAGUCUCAGCAGACCCCUGGGCAACCCUCUGGGAUGAGGAGUCCUGGGCAGGGGUGGGAAUGCCUGUCCAGAGCCUGCAGGGCCAUCCUGGAAUGUCUGUUUUGUCUCAUUUUCCCCUUAGCACCUUCCCCUCCAGCCUAGGGCCUGAAAGAGUAGAGUAGGCUGGCAGGUGAGCCCUGAAAACCUUGCAGACAGAAAGGGCAGGGUCUGGUCUCUCCAUUUCAUCGUGAAGCCAAUGUGAGAGGCUACAGAGAGGCAGCCCAGUGGUAGAGCGUGCUUUGCAUGUGUGAGAU